RNAcentral lists this ribosomal RNA (725 nucleotides) under uncultured Acidobacteriota bacterium. Its description in RNAcentral is "bacterial SSU rRNA". It matches the Rfam family "Bacterial small subunit ribosomal RNA", at positions 60 to 789 of the family's 1533-position model. The record is from RNAcentral. Lineage: Bacteria; Pseudomonadati; Acidobacteriota.
AGUCGCGUGCGCAGUCUGUAGCAAUACAGGCCGGCGCACGGCGCACGGGUGCGUAACACGUGGGCAAUCUGCCCUCUGAUGGGGAAUAACCCCGCGAAAGCGGGGCUAAUUCCGCAUAAAAUUCCGAGGACCUUGGUUCUUGGAUUCAAAGCAGUAAUGCGUCAGAGGAGGAGCCCGCGCCCGAUUAGCUAGUUGGCGAGGUAACGGCUCACCAAGGCAAUGAUCGGUAGCUGGUCUGAGAGGAUGAUCAGCCACACUGGAACUGAGACACGGUCCAGACUCCUACGGGAGGCAGCAGUGGGGAAUCUUGCACAAUGGGCGAAAGCCUGAUGCAGCGACGCCGCGUGGGGGAUGAAGCUUUUCGGAGUGUAAACCCCUUUCGACUGGGACGAAAACCCGCAAGGGAUUGACGGUACCAGUAUGAGAAGCCCCGGCUAACUACGUGCCAGCAGCCGCGGUAAGACGUAGGGGGCCAGCGUUGUUCGGAAUUACUGGGUGUAAAGGGUUCGUAGGCGGUGCGGCAAGUUGGGAGUGGAAUCUCUGGGCUUAACCCAGAGGCUGCUUCCAAAACUGCUGUGCUUGAGUGUGAGAGGCUCGUGGAAUUGCAGGUGUAGCGGUGAAAUGCGUAGAUAUCUGCAGGAACACCCGUGGCGAAAGCGGCGAGCUGGAUCACUACUGACGCUGAGGAACGAAAGCUAGGGGAGCAAACAGGAUUAGAUACCCUG